AUUGAACGCUGGCGGCAGGCCUAACACAUGCAAGUCGAGCGGAUGAAGGGAGCUUGCUCCUGGAUUCAGCGGCGGACGGGUGAGUAAUGCCUAGGAAUCUGCCUGGUAGUGGGGGAUAACGUCCGGUAACGGGCGCUAAUACCGCAUCCGUCCUGAGGGUGAAAGUGGGGGUUCUUCGGACCUCACGCUAUUUGCUGAGCCUAGGUCGGAUUAGCUAGUUGGUGGGGUAAAGGCCUACCAAGGCGACGAUCCGUAACUGGUCUGAGAGGCUGAUCAGUCACACUGGAACUGAGACACGGUCCAGACUCCUACGGGAGGCAGCAGUGGGGAAUAUUGGACAAUGGGCGAAAGCCUGAUCCAGCCAUGCCGCGUGAGUGAAGAAGGUCUUCGGAUUGUAAAGCACUUUAAGUUGGGAGGAAGGGCAGUAAGUUAAUACCUGGCUGUUUUGACGUUACCAACAGAAUAAGCACCGGCUAACUUCGUG
RNAcentral lists this ribosomal RNA (484 nucleotides) under uncultured bacterium. RNAcentral's name for it is "partial 16S ribosomal RNA". It matches the Rfam family "Bacterial small subunit ribosomal RNA", at positions 30 to 507 of the family's 1533-position model. The record is from RNAcentral.